GGCCAUUUUGAAUUGUUUAAUUUUCCUGGGCAAUGACUAUUAAGAUCAGCAUUCCUCACGGGCAUGAAGUCUUGUGACAUCAUUAUGCAUAAGGUCAAAUGAGCAGUAUGAUGUCCGAAUUGGAACACACAAUUGUAUACGAAUGAAAAAUUAUCUGACUUUUUUCCAUAAUGGUCACAAUUUCUUUCUUAUUAUAUAGUUUUGCAGUUCUGACUGAGUACAAUCUUAAUCGUUUAUACAAUGAAUGGUGUCAUAUGAAGCUGACAUAUUAAACAAUUACAAUCUUAAUCAUUUAUACAAUGAAUGGUGUCAUAUGAAGCUUACAUUAUUAAUACCUGGUUCACACUGGUCGUAAGAAUCGGGGAUUUCCAUUGUCUGUGAUCAUUGGUGUGUAAAAUGCUUUGUCUGUUGGAAAAGAAUACAAUAGAUCUCCGAUAAUUUACGACCAGUGUGAACCAGGCUUAAACAAAAAUGUCAACAUUGAAAUAGAUUUUGUCUCUCCAUCGGCAGAUUGUUCAGUUGUUCUGUGGUAGGGGUAGCCUUGAAGGUGCCAUUAAAAUGAUAAUAGGGAUAAAAACUGACUUACAG
Molecule: non-coding RNA, 588 nt
Organism: Paramuricea clavata
Lineage: Eukaryota; Metazoa; Cnidaria; Anthozoa; Malacalcyonacea; Plexauridae
Source: the annotation of a GenBank genome assembly